CUCUUUCUUCAUGUUCCUUGCUUUCUAGAAUUUCAUUUCAACCCUAACCCAAAAUAACGUCGCCGUCAAUCAUAACCAACAAUCUCCAUCUCAUUUGUGUCUUGUUCAUGGAGGCCAUCCCACGACCAUUCUCCAUUUUUCAGUGUUGUGUUUGAUAAAAGGACUGAAAUAUUUGAAGGAAUGCAAUAUUUGAAGCUACCUCCGUAUUUGAUAUUCACAUUGCUUAACUCAUUCAAGCUGAAAAUGAUGCAGUUGACCAAGAUCUUCCAAAUUGCUGUGUGUUUACUUUAUAUUGGUAUGCCUUUACAUGUGUAGAAUUGACGAUUUUGUUUUGAUUAAGCAUUGUCUUUCUCUUCAUGAUAGUCAUAUGGCAGUGGUAGUUUAUUGUUUCUCAUUUCUUGAAGAGCUUGGCAUCAUCUUUUCAUUGAAUUCUCAAGCAUCAGGUUUUGGUUUAACAAAGCUAUGUUUCAUGGGAUUAUUAAAGAUAAUGGU
Lathyrus oleraceus (garden pea) is the source of this 492-nucleotide long non-coding RNA. RefSeq lists it as uncharacterized. The transcript is spliced from 3 exons. NCBI's taxonomy places the organism in Eukaryota, Viridiplantae, Streptophyta, Magnoliopsida, Fabales, Fabaceae. The record is from RefSeq and is a predicted model, not a curated record.